CCGACGGGUGGCAGCAGGGAGGAAUAUGGGGCAAUGGGCGCGAGCCUGAACAAGCCAAGUAGCGUGAAGGAUGACAGCCCUACGGGUGGUAAACUUCUGUUAUAAAGGAAUAAAGUGAGGCACGUGUGCCUUUUUGUAUGUACUUUAUGAAUAAGGAUCGGCUAACUCCGUGCCAGCAGCCGCGGUAAUACGGAGGAUCCGAGCGUUAUCCGGAUUUAUUGGGUUUAAAGGGAGCGUAGAUGGGUUGUUAAGUCAGUUGUGAAAGUUUGCGGCUCAACCGUAAAAUUGCAAUUGAUACUGGCAGUCUUGAGUACAGUUGAGGUCGGCGGAAUUCGUGGUGUAGCGGUGAAAUGCUUAGAUAUCACGAAGAACUCCGAUUGCGAAGGCAGCUUACUAAACUGCCACUGACAUUGAUGCUCGACAGUGUGGGUAUCAAACAGGAUUAGAUACCCCGGUAGUC
Molecule: ribosomal RNA, 460 nt
Filed under: uncultured bacterium
Lineage: Bacteria
Description: partial 16S ribosomal RNA
Rfam family: Bacterial small subunit ribosomal RNA
Source: RNAcentral